UCUGGCUCCAGAAGUCUGAAACCAAGAUGUCAGCAGGGCCAUGCUCCCUCCGAGGGCUCCAGGGAAAGAUCCUUCCUCGCCUCUUCCGGCUUCUGGUGGUGUGGCUGCAACCCCUGGUGUCCCUUGGCUUGUGGCUGCAUCACUCCAAUCUCCACCUCUGUGGUCACACAGCUGCCUUCUCUGUGUGUGUUUCUCCGUGUCCCUCCUUGGAAGGACACCAGUUGUCUGAUGAGGGUCCACCCUAAUCUAGAAUGAGUUCAACUUGAUUACAUCUACCCAGACCCUAUUUUCAAAUAAGGUCACAGCCUGAGGUUCCAGUGGACAUGAGCUGUGGGGGUACACUUAUUCAACCCAGUAUAGCCUCCAAAGUCAGAGUACCCAGAGCCAGGAAGGACGCGAAUGCACAGGAAACAGGUCCUGCUGUUACUCCCAGUUUACAGACGUAGACACUGAGGCUCUGAAAAACUAACUUGUUCAAGGUCACAUGACUGAGACACGCAGAGAGGGAAGAGGAUCUGAAGACGCGGGAAGAAGAUGGCCAUCCACGUACGAGUAGAGGGGGAAGGCCUGGAAAGGACUCUCUGUCGUACCCCAAGAUGGAAUGAGCCCUGCUGACACCCUGGUCUCGGACUUCCGGCCGCCAGAGCUGUGAACGACACAUUUCUGUUGUUUAAGCCACCCAGCAGCAGGUGCUUUGUUAUGUCAGCCCUAGCAGACAA
This is a non-coding RNA of Microcebus murinus (gray mouse lemur), 719 nucleotides long. Lineage: Eukaryota; Metazoa; Chordata; Mammalia; Primates; Cheirogaleidae. The record is from RefSeq and is a predicted model, not a curated record.